Molecule: ribosomal RNA, 222 nt
Filed under: uncultured bacterium
Lineage: Bacteria
Description: partial 16S ribosomal RNA
Rfam family: Bacterial small subunit ribosomal RNA
Source: RNAcentral
AUUACGGGGGGACUCCUACGGGAGGCAGCAGUAGGGAAUCUUCCACAAUGGACGCAAGUCUGAUGGAGCAACGCCGCGUGAGUGAAGAAGGUUUUCGGAUCGUAAAGCUCUGUUGUUGGUGAAGAAGGAUAGAGGUAGCAACUGGCCUUUAUUUGACGGUAAUCAACCAGAAAGUCACGGCUAACUACGUGCCAGCAGCCGCGGUAAAAUUCAUCGGUGGGU